GGACCCGCACAAGCGGUGGAGCAUGUGGUUUAAUUCGAUGCAACGCGAAGAACCUUACCUGGCCUUGACAUCCUCGGAACCCUGCAGAGAUGCGGGGGUGCCUUCGGGAACCGAGAGACAGGUGCUGCAUGGCUGUCGUCAGCUCGUGUCGUGAGAUGUUGGGUUAAGUCCCGCAACGAGCGCAACCCUUGUCCUUAGUUGCCAUCAUUCAGUUGGGAACUCUAAGGAGACCGCCGGUGACAAACCGGAGGAAGGUGGGGAUGACGUCAAGUCAUCAUGGCCUCCAUGGCCAGGGCUACACACGUGCUACAAUGGCAGGUACAGAGGGAAGCCAACUCGCGAGAGGGAGCUAAUCCCAGAAAGCCUGUCGUAGUCCGGAUCGGAGUCUGCAACUCGACUCCGUGAAGUCGGAAUCGCUAGUAAUCGCAGAUCAGCAUUGCUGCGGUGAAUACGUUCCCGGGUCUU
RNAcentral lists this ribosomal RNA (465 nucleotides) under uncultured bacterium. Its description in RNAcentral is "bacterial SSU rRNA". It matches the Rfam family "Bacterial small subunit ribosomal RNA", at positions 917 to 1382 of the family's 1533-position model. The record is from RNAcentral.